This 279-nucleotide ribosomal RNA is filed under the name uncultured bacterium. Its description in RNAcentral is "partial 16S ribosomal RNA". It matches the Rfam family "Bacterial small subunit ribosomal RNA", at positions 506 to 784 of the family's 1533-position model. The record is from RNAcentral.
UGCCAGCCGCCGCGGUAAUACAGAGAGUGCGAACGUUGUUCGGAAUUACUGGGCUUAAAGCGCGCGCAGGCGGCAUUACAAGUGUCAGGUGAAAUCCCACAGCUCACCCGUGGAACUGCCCGGCAAACUGUAGAGCUAGAGUGUGGUAGGGGAGAGCAGAACUCAUGGUGGAGCGGUGAAAUGCGUAGAUAUCAUGAGGAAUACCGGUGGCGAAGGCGGCUCUCUGGUCCACAACUGACGCUGAGGUGCGAAAGCUAGGGUAGCGAACGGGAUUAGAUA